RNAcentral lists this ribosomal RNA (500 nucleotides) under fungal sp. E15830A. RNAcentral's name for it is "eukaryotic LSU rRNA". The stretch from base 153 to 306 matches the Rfam family "5.8S ribosomal RNA". Lineage: Eukaryota; Fungi. The record is from RNAcentral.
AUUACCGAGUUUACAACUCCCAAACCCCUGUGAACAUACCAAUUGUUGCCUCGGCGGAUCAGCCCGCUCCCGGUAAAACGGGACGGCCCGCCAGAGGACCCCUAAACUCUGUUUCUAUAUGUAACUUCUGAGUAAAACCAUAAAUAAAUCAAAACUUUCAACAACGGAUCUCUUGGUUCUGGCAUCGAUGAAGAACGCAGCAAAAUGCGAUAAGUAAUGUGAAUUGCAGAAUUCAGUGAAUCAUCGAAUCUUUGAACGCACAUUGCGCCCGCCAGUAUUCUGGCGGGCAUGCCUGUUCGAGCGUCAUUUCAACCCUCAAGCCCUCGGGUUUGGUGUUGGGGAUCGGCGAGCCCUUGCGGCAAGCCGGCCCCGAAAUCUAGUGGCGGUCUCGCUGCAGCUUCCAUUGCGUAGUAGUAAAACCCUCGCAACUGGUACGCGGCGCGGCCAAGCCGUUAAACCCCCAACUUCUGAAUGUUGACCUCGGAUCAGGUAGGAAUACC